CCUACGGGUGGCAGCAGUGGGGAAUAUUGGGCAAUGGGCGCAAGCCUGACCCAGCAACGCCGCGUGAAGGAAGAAGGCCCUCGGGUUGUAAACUUCUUUUUAGAGGGAAGAGCAGAAGUCGGUACCUGUUGAAUAAGCCAUGGCUAACUACGUGCCAGCAGCCGCCGGAAUACGUAGGUGGCAGGCGUUGUCCGGAUUUACUGGGUUUAAAGGGUGUGCUGCCGGGAAGAUAAGUCAGAUGUGAAAUCCCGCGGCUCAACCGCGGAACUGCAUUUGAAACUGUUUUUCUUGAGUACCGGAGAGGUAGGCGGAAUUCGUGGUGUAGCGGUGAAAUGCGUAGAUAUAACGCAGAACACCGAUGGCGAAGGCAGAUGACUGGACGGCAACUGACGGUGAGGCACGAAAGCGUGGGUAUCAAACAGGAUUAGAUACCCGUGUAGUC
Molecule: ribosomal RNA, 442 nt
Filed under: uncultured bacterium
Lineage: Bacteria
Description: partial 16S ribosomal RNA
Rfam family: Bacterial small subunit ribosomal RNA
Source: RNAcentral